GUUGUCGUGGCCGAGUGGUUAAGGCGAUGGACUCGAAAUUCAUUGGUAUUUUUCCCACUCAGGUUCAAAUCCGGUGCUUUGUUC
Danionella cerebrum is the source of this 84-nucleotide non-coding RNA. The record is from the annotation of a GenBank genome assembly. Lineage: Eukaryota; Metazoa; Chordata; Actinopteri; Cypriniformes; Danionidae.